This 1438-nucleotide ribosomal RNA is filed under the name Microbacterium sp. Pla-1. Its description in RNAcentral is "16S ribosomal RNA". It matches the Rfam family "Bacterial small subunit ribosomal RNA". Lineage: Bacteria; Bacillati; Actinomycetota; Actinomycetes; Micrococcales; Microbacteriaceae. The record is from RNAcentral.
GAUGAACGCUGGCGGCGUGCUUAACACAUGCAAGUCGAACGGUGAAGGCCCAGCUUGCUGGGUGGAUCAGUGGCGAACGGGUGAGUAACACGUGAGCAAUCUGCCCCUGACUCUGGGAUAAGCGCUGGAAACGGCGUCUAAUACUGGAUAUGAACCGUGGAGGCAUCUUCAACGGUUGGAAAGAUUUUUUGGUCAGGGAUGAGCUCGCGGCCUAUCAGCUUGUUGGUGAGGUAAUGGCUCACCAAGGCGUCGACGGGUAGCCGGCCUGAGAGGGUGACCGGCCACACUGGGACUGAGACACGGCCCAGACUCCUACGGGAGGCAGCAGUGGGGAAUAUUGCAACAAUGGGGGCAAGCCUGAUGCAGCAAACNCGGCGUUGAGGGAUGACGGCCUUCGGGGUGUAAAACUUUUUUAGCAGGGGAAGAAGCGAAAGUGACGGUAACUGCAGAAAAAGCGCCGGGCUAAAUAACGUGCCAGCAGCCGCGGUAAUAACGUAGGGCGCAAGCGUUAUCCGGAAUUAUUGGGCGUAAAGAGCUCGUAGGCGGUUUGUCGCGUCUGCUGUGAAAUCCCGAGGCUCAACUUCGGGUCUGCAGUGGGUACGGGCAGACUAGAGUGCGGUAGGGGAGAUUGGAAUUCCUGGUGUAGCGGUGGAAUGCGCAGAUAUCAGGAGGAACACCGAUGGCGAAGGCAGAUCUCUGGGCCGUAACUGACGCUGAGGAGCGAAAGGGUGGGGAGCAAACAGGCUUAGAUACCCUGGUAGUCCACCCCGUAAACGUUGGGAACUAGUUGUGGGGUCCAUUCCACGGAUUCCGUGACGCAGCUAACGCAUUAAUUUCCCCGCCUGGGGAGUACGGCCGCAAGGUAAAACUCAAAGGAAUUGACGGCGGUGUGUAAAAACGGCGAUGCACGCGGAUUAAGUCGAGGCAACGCGAAGAAACUUACCAAGGAUUGACAUAUACGAGAACGCUGCAGAAAUGUAAAACUCUAUGGACACUCGUAAACAGGUGGUGCAUGGUUGUCGUCAGCUCGUGUCGUGAGAUGUUGGGUUAAGUCCCGCAACGAGCGCAACCCUCGUUCUAUGUUGCCAGCACGUAAUGGUGGGAACUCAUGGGAUACUGCCGGGGUCAACUCGGAGGAAGGUGGGGAUGACGUCAAAUCAUCAUGCCCCUUAUGUCUUGGGCUUCACGCAUGCUACAAUGGCCGGUACAAAGGGCUGCAAUACCGUAAGGUGGAGCGAAUCCCAAAAAGCCGGUCCCAGUUCGGAUUGAGGUCUGCAACUCGACCUCAUGAAUUCGGAGUCGCUAGUAAUCCCAGAUCAGCAACGCUGCGGUAAAUACUUUCCCNGGUCUUGUACACACCCCCCGUCAAUUCAUGAAAGUCGGUAACACCUGAAGCCGGUGGCCCAACCCUUGUGGAGGGAGCCGUCGAAGGUGGGAU